Molecule: transfer RNA, 90 nt
Filed under: bacterium
Lineage: Bacteria
Description: tRNA-Ser
Rfam family: tRNA
About the family: Transfer RNA (tRNA) molecules are approximately 80 nucleotides in length. Their secondary structure includes four short double-helical elements and three loops (D, anti-codon, and T loops).
Source: RNAcentral
GGAGAGGUGCUGGAGUGGUCGAUCAGGCACGCCUGGAAAGCGUGUAGGGGUGCAAGUCCCUCGUGGGUUCGAAUCCCACCCUCUCCGCCA